AGCCCCGUCGUCUAGCGGCCAAGGAGGGUUAGGCCCUUGACCUGGUGACGGCAGUUCGAAUCUGCCCGGGGCUACCA
Molecule: transfer RNA, 77 nt
Filed under: Nitrososphaerales archaeon
Lineage: Archaea; Thermoproteati; Nitrososphaerota; Nitrososphaeria; Nitrososphaerales
Description: tRNA-Lys
Rfam family: tRNA
About the family: Transfer RNA (tRNA) molecules are approximately 80 nucleotides in length. Their secondary structure includes four short double-helical elements and three loops (D, anti-codon, and T loops).
Source: RNAcentral